ACCGGGUGCGGUGGCAUGUGCUGUAAUCCAAGUCACUGGGAGGCUGAGGUUGGUGGAUCAAGUGAGCUGAGGAGCUCUGGGCUGCAGCACGCUAUGUCGAACGGGUGUCCACGCUAAGUUCGGUAUCGAUAUGGUGUUCCUGGGGGAACCCGGGACCACCAGGUUGUCUAAGGAGGGGUGAACCGGCCCAGGUCGGAAACGAAGCAGGUCAAAUCCCCCGUGCUGUCCAGUAGUGGGAUAAUACCUGUGAGUAGAUGCUGCAGUGCAGCCUUGGCAAAACAUUCGAGACCUAAUCUUUU
Molecule: signal recognition particle RNA, 299 nt
Filed under: Oncorhynchus mykiss (rainbow trout)
Lineage: Eukaryota; Metazoa; Chordata; Actinopteri; Salmoniformes; Salmonidae
Description: Metazoan signal recognition particle RNA (ENSOMYG00000053784.1)
Rfam family: Metazoan signal recognition particle RNA
About the family: The signal recognition particle (SRP) is a universally conserved ribonucleoprotein. It is involved in the co-translational targeting of proteins to membranes. The eukaryotic SRP consists of a 300-nucleotide 7S RNA and six proteins: SRPs 72, 68, 54, 19, 14, and 9.
Source: RNAcentral